UUGUGAUAACCGCUGAAAGCAUCUAAGCGGGAAGCCAUCUCCAAGAUGAAUUCUCUCUAUUGAACCUCCCGGGAGACUACCGGGUUGAUAGGCUGCAGGUCUGCGCGCAGUAAUGCGUUUAGCCGAGCAGUACUAAUAGGUCAUUGCAUUUUUUUC
This 156-nucleotide ribosomal RNA is filed under the name bacterium. RNAcentral describes it as "partial 23S ribosomal RNA". It matches the Rfam family "Bacterial large subunit ribosomal RNA", at positions 2759 to 2925 of the family's 2925-position model. The record is from RNAcentral.